Molecule: ribosomal RNA, 279 nt
Filed under: uncultured bacterium
Lineage: Bacteria
Description: partial 16S ribosomal RNA
Rfam family: Bacterial small subunit ribosomal RNA
Source: RNAcentral
UGCCAGCCGCCGCGGUAACACGGGGGGCGCAAUCGUGAUUCGGAAUUAUUGGGCGUAAAGGGCGCGCAGGCGGUCUUGUCAGUCAGGUGUGAAAGCCCGGGGCUCAACCCCGGAUGGUCACUUGAAACAGCAAGACUUGAGUACUGGAGAGGAAAGCGGAAUUCCUGGUGUAGAGGUGAAAUUCGUAGAUAUCAGGAGGAACACCGAUGGCGAAGGCAGCUUUCUGGAACAUUAUUGACGCUGAGACGCGAAAGCGUGAAGAGCAAACAGGAUUAGAUA